Molecule: ribosomal RNA, 626 nt
Filed under: Ascochyta medicaginicola
Lineage: Eukaryota; Fungi; Ascomycota; Dothideomycetes; Pleosporales; Didymellaceae
Description: SSU rRNA
Rfam family: Bacterial small subunit ribosomal RNA
Source: RNAcentral
AUUAGUCAAUGGCCUAACGGCUGAACCAGCAACUUGCAGGAAUGAGAGUUAAUAUAAUAAGUUUAUUAACUUGCUUGACUAGGUCUUAUAAAAUUCUGGAUAAAGCUUAUUAUGAAAACUUUAUAUCCAUAGGUCUCGACCAAAUCUUGUGCCAGCAGUCGCGGUAAGACAAGGGAGACGAGUGUUAUUCAUCUUUAACAGGUAUAUAGGGUACCUAGACGGUGUACAAAGGCUUAGAUAAGUACCUGCUACACUUGAGUUUGAUAUGUGAGAGGAAUAUGUCAGAAUUAUUGGUGGAAAGAUGAAAUUUGCUAAUACUAAUAGGACUGAUAACGGCGAAGGCAAACCUCUAUGUACAUGUAUUUUUAUUAUUGGUAACGUGUUAAAUCGUUUACCAAUAAUUAGAUAAGAAAAAUACUAUAACUGACGUUGAGGGACGAAGGCUCAGAGAGUGAAGAGGAUUAGAUACCCCCGUAGCCUGGGCAGACAAUGAUGAGUGCCAUAGAUUGGCUUUAUGUUGAACUAUAAAUGAAAGUGGAAGCACUCCACCUCAAGAGUAAUGUGGCAACGCAGGAACUGAAAUCAUUAGACCGUUUCUGAAACCAGUAGUGAAGUAUGUUAUUUAA